UAGUCCACGCCCUAAACGAUGUACACUAGUUGUUGUGAGGCUAGACCUUGCAGUAAUGCAGUUAACACAUUAAGUGUACCGCCUGGGGAGUACGGUCGCAAGAUUAAAACUCAAAGGAAUAGACGGGGACCCGCACAAGCGGUGGAGCAUGUGGUUUAAUUCGACGAUACGCGAAGAACCUUACCUGGACUUGACAUAGAAAGAAUAACGCAGAGAUGUGAUAGUGCUAGCUUGCUAGAACUUUCAUACAGGUGCUGCACGGCUGUCGUCAGCUCGUGUCGUGAGAUGUUGGGUUAAGUCCCGCGACGAGCGCAACCCUUAUCCUUAGUUGCCAGCACAUAAUGGUGGGGACUCUAGGGAGACUGCCGGCGUAAGCCGCGAGAAAGGUGGGGACGACGUCAAAUCAUCAUGGCCUUUAUGCCUAGGGCUACACACGUGCUACAAUGGUGCAUACAGCGGGUAGCGAAAUCGCGAGGUGGAGCUAAUCUUGU
Molecule: ribosomal RNA, 491 nt
Filed under: uncultured bacterium
Lineage: Bacteria
Description: bacterial SSU rRNA
Rfam family: Bacterial small subunit ribosomal RNA
Source: RNAcentral